AAGAGAGUCGUAGUGGUUACGUGGUUGGCUUGAAACCAGUUAUUGGAGGUUCGAUUCCUUCCUUUCUUG
This 69-nucleotide transfer RNA is filed under the name Elephantulus edwardii (Cape elephant shrew). RNAcentral describes it as "tRNA-Ser". It matches the Rfam family "tRNA". Rfam says of the family: Transfer RNA (tRNA) molecules are approximately 80 nucleotides in length. Their secondary structure includes four short double-helical elements and three loops (D, anti-codon, and T loops). Further hydrogen bonds mediate the characteristic L-shaped molecular structure. tRNAs have two regions of fundamental functional importance: the anti-codon, which is responsible for specific mRNA codon recognition, and the 3' end, to which the tRNAs corresponding amino acid is attached (by aminoacyl-tRNA synthetases). tRNAs cope with the degeneracy of the genetic code in two manners: having more than one tRNA (with a specific anti-codon) for a particular amino acid; and 'wobble' base-pairing, i.e. permitting non-standard base-pairing at the 3rd anti-codon position. Lineage: Eukaryota; Metazoa; Chordata; Mammalia; Macroscelidea; Macroscelididae. The record is from RNAcentral.